This 715-nucleotide unclassified non-coding RNA is filed under the name uncultured bacterium. Its description in RNAcentral is "partial contains 16S ribosomal RNA, 16S-23S ribosomal RNA intergenic spacer, and 23S ribosomal RNA". The stretch from base 1 to 118 matches the Rfam family "Bacterial small subunit ribosomal RNA", at positions 1416 to 1533 of the family's 1533-position model. The record is from RNAcentral.
UGCUCCAGAAGUGGGUAGCCUAACCGCAAGGCGGGCGCUUACCAAGGAGUGAUCGGUGACUGGGGUGAAGUCGUAACAAGGUAUCCCUACCGGAAGGUGGGGAUGGAUCACCUCCUUUCUAGGAGUUCGUUCGAGCCUCGAGCUCGGACACUUCAGGUCGAACCCGCGGGCAUUCGUGCAUCAUUCGCGGUCCCCUCCUCUCCAGUUUUCAGGGAGUGAACGCUUCCUGAAAACAGGUUGUCUUCAGAAAACCUGGGCGUGUAGCUCAGUUGGUUAGAGCGCCGCCCUGAUAAGGCGGAGGUCGGAGGUUCAAAUCCUCCCACGCCCACGACCAAACUCUACGCCGCACCCGCGGCAGAGAGUCGGGGGACUAGCUCAGCUGGGAGAGCGCGGGCUUUGCAAGCCUGAGGUCAGCGGUUCGAUCCCGCUAUCCUCCAUCACGUCCAGGUCCGAAACGAAGACUGCUACUUUAGAUCUGAAUAGACGAACAAGACCACCGGAAGGUCGCCACAAUGCACAGUCACUGAUUGUGCGAGUGUGGCAACCGAACCGAGUAGCACAUUUCCGUCGACGAGCGUCGUGAGACGCUCGCAACGAGUCUCGAUCUGCCCGCAGGCAGAUCAUCAAAAAAGGGACUCGAGCGCGCCGAGCAGCAGCUCGGCAGCACCAAGUAGGGCUCGUGGCGACGAAAGGAACCUCGAGCUCGACCCAUCUG